Molecule: ribosomal RNA, 253 nt
Filed under: uncultured bacterium
Lineage: Bacteria
Description: partial 16S ribosomal RNA
Rfam family: Bacterial small subunit ribosomal RNA
Source: RNAcentral
UACGUAGGGCGCAAGCGUUGUCCGGAAUUAUUGGGCGUAAAGAGCUCGUAGGCGGUCUGUCGCGUCUGCCGUGAAAACCCGAGGCUUAACCUCGGGCUGGCGGUGGAUACGGGCAGACUAGAGGUAGGUAGGGGAGAAUGGAAUUCCCGGUGUAGCGGUGAAAUGCGCAGAUAUCAGGAGGAACACCGGUGGCGAAGGCGGGUCUCUGGGCAACAACUGACGCUGAGGAGCGAAAGCGUGGGGAGCGAACAGG